This 89-nucleotide ribosomal RNA is filed under the name Otolemur garnettii (small-eared galago). The record is from RNAcentral. Lineage: Eukaryota; Metazoa; Chordata; Mammalia; Primates; Galagidae.
GUCUACAGCCAUACCACCCUGAAUGUCACCAAUCUCGUCUGAUCUCGGAAGCUAAGCAGGGUCAGAAAAAAAUUUUUUUUUAAAAGAGU